Non-coding RNA from Mycena maculata, 95 nucleotides. The record is from the annotation of a GenBank genome assembly. Lineage: Eukaryota; Fungi; Basidiomycota; Agaricomycetes; Agaricales; Mycenaceae.
GUCUUCGUGGCGUAGAAUAACUCACUCCCAUCUGCUGCCACAGGUAUCAUGAAUUAUGCCAGGGAGAGCCGGUGGUUCGACCCCACCCGAAGACG